RNAcentral lists this transfer RNA (76 nucleotides) under Marmota monax (woodchuck). RNAcentral's name for it is "tRNA.Ala". The record is from RNAcentral. Lineage: Eukaryota; Metazoa; Chordata; Mammalia; Rodentia; Sciuridae.
GGUGAUUUAGUUUAGUGGUAGAACACAAGCUUGGCAUGCAUCAUGCAUGAUGCUCUAUGUUCAAUCCCCAGCACCA